UGGAGGAUAGCUCAGUUGGUAGAGUACCAGCGGAAACGAGGUGGUGACGUCAGUUCGAAUCUGACUCCUUCAA
Molecule: transfer RNA, 73 nt
Filed under: Caudoviricetes sp.
Lineage: Duplodnaviria; Heunggongvirae; Uroviricota; Caudoviricetes
Description: tRNA-OTHER
Rfam family: tRNA
About the family: Transfer RNA (tRNA) molecules are approximately 80 nucleotides in length. Their secondary structure includes four short double-helical elements and three loops (D, anti-codon, and T loops). Further hydrogen bonds mediate the characteristic L-shaped molecular structure. tRNAs have two regions of fundamental functional importance: the anti-codon, which is responsible for specific mRNA codon recognition, and the 3' end, to which the tRNAs corresponding amino acid is attached (by aminoacyl-tRNA synthetases). tRNAs cope with the degeneracy of the genetic code in two manners: having more than one tRNA (with a specific anti-codon) for a particular amino acid; and 'wobble' base-pairing, i.e. permitting non-standard base-pairing at the 3rd anti-codon position.
Source: RNAcentral